UACGUAGGGUGCAAGCGUUGUCCGGAAUUAUUGGGCGUAAAGAGCUCGUAGGCGGCUUGUCGCGUCGACUGUGAAAACUCACGGCUCAACCGUGGAACUGCAGUCGAUACGGGCAGACUGGAGUUCGGCAGGGGAGACUGGAAUUCCUGGUGUAGCGGUGAAAUGCGCAGAUAUCAGGAGGAACACCGAUGGCGAAGGCAGGUCUCUGGGCCACUACUGACGCUGAGAAGCGAAAGCAUGGGGAGCGAACAGG
Molecule: ribosomal RNA, 253 nt
Filed under: uncultured bacterium
Lineage: Bacteria
Description: partial 16S ribosomal RNA
Rfam family: Bacterial small subunit ribosomal RNA
Source: RNAcentral